AGAGUUUGAUCCUGGCUCAGGAUGAACGCUAGCUACAGGCUUAACACAUGCAAGUCGAGGGGCAGCAUUUCAGUUUGCUUGCAAACUGGAGAUGGCGACCGGCGCACGGGUGAGUAACACGUAUCCAACCUGCCGAUAACUCGGGGAUAGCCUUUCGAAAGAAAGAUUAAUACCCGAUGGCAUAAUUAGACCGCAUGGUCUUAUUAUUAAGAAUUUCGGUUAUCGAUGGGGAUGCGUUCCAUUAGGCAGUUGGUGAGGUAACGGCUCACCAAACCUUCGAUGGAUAGGGGUUCUGAGAGGAAGGUCCCCCANAUUGGAACUGAGACACGGUCCAAAAUCCUACGGGAGGCA
Molecule: ribosomal RNA, 351 nt
Filed under: uncultured bacterium
Lineage: Bacteria
Description: bacterial SSU rRNA
Rfam family: Bacterial small subunit ribosomal RNA
Source: RNAcentral